UUACGGCCACAUCACGUUGAAACACCGCUUCCCGUACGAUUACCGAAGUUAAGCAACGUCGAGCCUGCUCAGUAACUAGAUGGGUGACCGCUUGGGAAUAACAGGUGCUGUAAG
RNAcentral lists this ribosomal RNA (114 nucleotides) under Acanthosepion pharaonis. Lineage: Eukaryota; Metazoa; Mollusca; Cephalopoda; Sepiida; Sepiidae. The record is from RNAcentral.